This 1077-nucleotide long non-coding RNA is filed under the name Carica papaya (papaya). Its description in RNAcentral is "long non-coding RNA (CPAP_LNC000977)". The record is from RNAcentral. Lineage: Eukaryota; Viridiplantae; Streptophyta; Magnoliopsida; Brassicales; Caricaceae.
ACCCAUUAUUGUCCACAUGAUUUUAGUUUAGAGGGAGGUGAAAAUGGAAGUCAAAUUGUGUAUGAGAAAUUUGUGAGAAGGAAAAGGGAAAGUAACCUAAAAGAGAUCUAAGAGAAAAAAGAAAAGUAGUAGACUACUUUUGUAGCUUUUCCCAAAAAUACAAAAAAUAAAUACAUACUUAAAAAAGGAACAAUCAGGUUUUGUACAACUUCGGCAAAAAAUUCAGGGCAGGUCUUUCAUUGUCCCUCACUUAUCAGUAAUUUCCCGGGAAACAAACAGAAACAUGCAACAAUAUUUUCCAGGAGCUUAAAGAAUAUAGAUAUCAAUUAUAACAAAGGAUAACUUGCAGAGAUUGCAAAGUAUAACCAUGUGAUUCUAUAAAAGGAAAAGAUAAGAUUUAUAACCAAAGAAAUAAACAAAAAUUAACACAACCCCAACAAUAUCCACCAAAACCAAAGAGAAACUAACUAUAAAAAUACGAUAAAAACCAAAAAAGUCCGGCAGAAAUCCAGAACCACAGAAGAAAACUAGUGAAACAAACCAAAAAUUCUGAAAAAGAAAAAAAUUAAAAAGCUACCUGGGUGGGUUCAUUCUCCUGAUAAGCUUAGCGUACUCAUCAUCCAUUUCCUUCUUCCCAAAAAGAACUUCACAGAUUCUCCAAACAACCUCCCAAACAAUUUAUAAUGAGAUGCUAGAGAAGAAUAAUAACCCACGAACUGGAAUUUUUUCUUAAAAAAGAAUUUAUUCUCUUGAGAGGUAGAUAUAAUACUGUACAAGGAUGCCUCCUCCAAUUUUCAAGGGAAAAAAGAAGCCCAAGAAAAAUCUUACCAAGAAAAAAGAAAUCAACAGAGAGAGGAGAAGAUUAACAGGGGAGAUAUAAGAUUAUUCACAGAGAGAGUUCAAAAUGAAGAAGAAGAAAAAAGAAAGGUGGUAUAAGAAAAGUAUAAAGAGACCUCCUUAGCCAUAUUUCCACAUACACUUGUGGGGUGUCUGAAAAUUAUUUUCUCGACUUUCUCCGUUUUCAAAAUUUAAUAAAGAAAAAAAAAAUUACCCCCGAAAAUUAUUUUUAUAAAUUAU